GCCGGCAUAGCUCAGUAGGCAGAGCGUUCGCCUUGUAAGCGAAAUGUCGUCGGUUCGAUUCCGACUGCCGGCU
Molecule: transfer RNA, 73 nt
Filed under: Chloroflexota bacterium
Lineage: Bacteria; Bacillati; Chloroflexota
Description: Chloroflexi bacterium (sediment metagenome) tRNA-Thr
Rfam family: tRNA
About the family: Transfer RNA (tRNA) molecules are approximately 80 nucleotides in length. Their secondary structure includes four short double-helical elements and three loops (D, anti-codon, and T loops). Further hydrogen bonds mediate the characteristic L-shaped molecular structure. tRNAs have two regions of fundamental functional importance: the anti-codon, which is responsible for specific mRNA codon recognition, and the 3' end, to which the tRNAs corresponding amino acid is attached (by aminoacyl-tRNA synthetases). tRNAs cope with the degeneracy of the genetic code in two manners: having more than one tRNA (with a specific anti-codon) for a particular amino acid; and 'wobble' base-pairing, i.e. permitting non-standard base-pairing at the 3rd anti-codon position.
Source: RNAcentral